Molecule: non-coding RNA, 47 nt
Filed under: Schistosoma margrebowiei
Lineage: Eukaryota; Metazoa; Platyhelminthes; Trematoda; Strigeidida; Schistosomatidae
Source: RNAcentral
AUUCGGCUGACGAGUCCCAAAUAGGAUGAAAUGCAUGUGUUCUGAAU